GGAAGAAUAGCUUAGUAUGGUUAGAGCACAAGCUUGUCACGCUUGAGGUCGCGGGUUCAAUUCCCGUUUCUUCCG
Molecule: transfer RNA, 75 nt
Filed under: Malawimonas jakobiformis
Lineage: Eukaryota; Malawimonada; Malawimonadea; Malawimonadida; Malawimonadidae
Description: tRNA-Asp
Rfam family: tRNA
About the family: Transfer RNA (tRNA) molecules are approximately 80 nucleotides in length.
Source: RNAcentral